Molecule: ribosomal RNA, 492 nt
Filed under: uncultured bacterium
Lineage: Bacteria
Description: partial 16S ribosomal RNA
Rfam family: Bacterial small subunit ribosomal RNA
Source: RNAcentral
AUUGAACGCUGGCGGCAUGCUUUACACAUGCAAGUCGAACGGUAACAGGCCUUCGGGUGCUGACGAGUGGCGAACGGGUGAGUAAUGCAUCCGAACGUACCCAGAGGUGGGGGAUAACGUAGCGAAAGCUGUGCUAAUACCGCAUGUGAUCUGAGGAUGAAAGCGGGGGACCGAGCAGCAAUGUUUGGCCUCGCGCCUUUGGAGCGGCCGAUGUCGGAUUAGCUAGUUGGUGGGGUAAAGGCCUACCAAGGCGACGAUCCGUAGCUGGUCUGAGAGGACGGUCGGCCGCACUGGGACUGAGCCACGGACAAGAGUCCUACGGGAGGCCGCAGUGGGGAAUUUUGGACAAUGGUCGCAAGCAUGAUCCAGCAAUGCGGCGUGCGGGAAGAAGGCCUUCGGGUUGUGAUGCGCUUUUGGCAGGAGCAAAACGGUGUCCGCUAAUACCGGGCGCUAAUGACGGUACCUGCAAAAUAAGCACCGGCUAACUACGUG